This 267-nucleotide long non-coding RNA is filed under the name Ananas comosus (pineapple). RNAcentral describes it as "long non-coding RNA (ACOM_LNC043393)". Lineage: Eukaryota; Viridiplantae; Streptophyta; Magnoliopsida; Poales; Bromeliaceae. The record is from RNAcentral.
AGAUCUCUCCGUCGGAAUCCGAGUCUCCGUCUUUCUCUUUCGUCGAUUUCAAUGCAACCCCUGUGCUUUUAGAGAAAGACUUGGAAGAAGAUUGAUUAGUAGGAAAAGUCAUCUCAUAAGUUUGCAAAGCACCUACUAAUUCUUCGACCUUCAUCUCGUCCGGAUGCUUGACCGUUUCGAUCGCGGCUACUUUAGCCCGAAAACGUUCCGGAAGAGUGCGAAGGAUUUUCCUAACAACCUUUGAAUCCGGGAUUUUCUCUCCCAAGU